RNAcentral lists this ribosomal RNA (439 nucleotides) under uncultured bacterium. RNAcentral describes it as "partial 16S ribosomal RNA". It matches the Rfam family "Bacterial small subunit ribosomal RNA", at positions 339 to 795 of the family's 1533-position model. The record is from RNAcentral.
CUACGGGAUGCUCCAGUGGGGAAUCUUAGACAAUGGGCGCAAGCCUGAUCUAGCCAUGCCGCGUGAGCGAUGAAGGCCUUAGGGUUGUAAAGCUCUUUCAGUGGGGAAGAUAAUGACGGUACCCACAGAAGAAGCCCCGGCUAACUCCGUGCCAGCAGCCGCGGUAAUACGGAGGGGGCUAGCGUUGUUCGGAAUUACUGGGCGUAAAGCGCGCGUAGGCGGAUUGGAAAGUUGGAGGUGAAAUCCCAGGGCUCAACCUUGGAACUGCCUUCAAAACUUCCAGUCUGGAGUUCGAGAGAGGUGAGUGGAAUUCCGAGUGUAGAGGUGAAAUUCGUAGAUAUUCGGAGGAACACCAGUGGCGAAGGCGGCUCACUGGCUCGAUACUGACGCUGAGGUGCGAAAGCGUGGGGAGCAAACAGGAUUAGAUACCCUAGUAGUC